This 406-nucleotide ribosomal RNA is filed under the name uncultured bacterium. RNAcentral describes it as "partial 16S ribosomal RNA". It matches the Rfam family "Bacterial small subunit ribosomal RNA", at positions 30 to 526 of the family's 1533-position model. The record is from RNAcentral.
AUUGAACGCUGGCGGCAGGCCUAACACAUGCAAGUCGAACGAGUGGCGGACGGGUGAGUACUGUCUAGGAAUCUGCCCGAUGGUGGGGGAUAACGACUGGAAACGGACGCUAAUACCGCAUACCAUCGGAUGUGCCUAGGUCGGAUUAGCUAGUUGGUGGGGUAACGGCUUACCAAGGCGACGAUCCCUAGCUGGUCUGAGAGGAUGACCAGCAACACUGGAACUGAGACACGGUCCAGACGCCUACGGGAGGAAGCAGUGGGGAAUAUUGGACAAUGGGCGCAAGCCUGAUGCAGCCAUGCCGCGUGUGUGAAGAAGGUCUUCGGGUUGUAAAGCACUUUCAGCUGGGAGGCGUUACCCGCAGAAUAAGCACCGGCUAACUACGUGCCAGCAGCCGCGGUAAUUC